RNAcentral lists this ribosomal RNA (254 nucleotides) under uncultured bacterium. RNAcentral describes it as "partial 16S ribosomal RNA". It matches the Rfam family "Bacterial small subunit ribosomal RNA", at positions 524 to 776 of the family's 1533-position model. The record is from RNAcentral.
CACGUAGGGUGCGAGCGUUGUCCGAAAUUAUUGGGCGUAAAGAGCUCGUAGGCGGUGUGUCGCGUCGGCCGUGAAAACCUGCAGCUUAACUGUGGGCUUGCGGUCGAUACGGGCAUCACUGGAGUUCGGCAGGGGAGACUGGAAUUCCUGGUGUAGCGGUGAAAUGCGCAGAUAUCAGGAGGAACACCGGUGGCGAAGGCGGGUCUCUGGGCCGAUACUGAUGCUGAGGAGCGAAAGCGUGGGGAGCGAACAGG